Long non-coding RNA from Lutra lutra (Eurasian river otter), 230 nucleotides. RefSeq lists it as uncharacterized. The record is from RefSeq and is a predicted model, not a curated record. The transcript has 2 exons. Lineage: Eukaryota; Metazoa; Chordata; Mammalia; Carnivora; Mustelidae.
CAAAUAAAUAAAUAAAAUCUUUAAAAAAAAAAAAAUAAAAAAAAAAAAAAGGUGGGAGGGAAGGGGGCAAAGGGUGUUUCAGAUUGAACAAGAUUCUCACAUUUCAUCUAAUACAUUCAAUCCUGGCUGGAGUAUACCAAAAUGGAAACAGGAUUACUAUAAUACAAAACUUCCACUACAGCACGCUGUACACACCUGUGUUCCAAGCCCACCCCCAUCCCCCUACUGCU